UUCUUCGGGGUCGGGUGUAAUUCCCAACCGGCGGUAUAGUCCGCGACCUGCUGUUUUUACAGUGGCUGAACUGGUGAGAUUCCAGUACCGACAGUAAAGUCUGGAUGAGAGAAGAA
Molecule: non-coding RNA, 116 nt
Filed under: uncultured Muricomes sp.
Lineage: Bacteria; Bacillati; Bacillota; Clostridia; Lachnospirales; Lachnospiraceae
Description: FMN riboswitch (RFN element)
Rfam family: FMN riboswitch aptamer (RFN element)
About the family: The RFN element is a highly conserved domain that is found frequently in the 5'-untranslated regions of prokaryotic mRNAs that encode for flavin mononucleotide (FMN) biosynthesis and transport proteins. This element is a metabolite-dependent riboswitch that directly binds FMN in the absence of proteins.
Source: RNAcentral